Molecule: ribosomal RNA, 1091 nt
Filed under: human gut metagenome
Description: bacterial LSU rRNA
Rfam family: Bacterial large subunit ribosomal RNA
Source: RNAcentral
AGGUUUUUGGAGGAAGGUUCGUCCGCUCCAAGUUAGUCGGGAGCUAAGGUGAGGCCGGAAGGCGUAGCCGAUGCACAGACGGUAGAGAUUCCGUCACCACCAAAAGAGUUAAGCACAGGGACACAUUCAAAGUCUCAGAGCCGGGUGUUGGUUCCGGUAGAGAUCGAGGGAAAAUAGUACCGAAGUCUGGGAUGGAGGAUGGCGAGAAAAGCUGUGUGUAUUUCUGCGGUGCCCGUACCGCAAACCGACACAGGUAGGUAGGAAGAAGAUUCUAAGGCCAACGGGAGAAGGGUUGUUAAGGAACUCGGCAAAUUGACCCCGUAACUUCGGGAGAAGGGGUGCUCUAGCAAUAGAGCCGCAGAGAAUCGGCCCAAGCAACUGUUUACCAAAAACACAGGUUUGUGCUAAAUCGAAAGAUGACGUAUACGAGCUGACGCCUGCCCGGUGCUGGAAGGUUAAGAGGAGAUGUGCAAGCAUUGAAUCGAAGCCCCAGUGAACGGCGGCCGUAACUAUAACGGUCCUAAGGUAGCGAAAUUCCUUGUCAGGUAAGUUCUGACCCGCAUGAAAGGCGUAAUGAUUUGGGCACUGUCUCAACAGCCCGCCCGGCGAAAUUGUAGUACCGGUGAAGAUGCCGGUUACCCGCGACAAGACGGAAAGACCCCAUGGAGCUUUACUGUAGCCUAAUAUUGGGUUUCGAUGUUGCAUGCACAGGAUAGAUGGGACACUGGGAAGCACGGGCUUUGGCCUGUGUGGAGUGGCCGUUGGGAUACCAUCCUUGCGAUAUUGGAAUUCUAACCUGCGCCUUUGAAUCAAGGCGGGGGACAUUGUUAGGUGGGCAGUUUGACUGGGGCGGUCGCCUCCUAAAAAGUAACGGAGGCGUUCAAAGGUUCGCUCAGCUUGAACGGAAAUCAAGCAAGAGAGUGCAAACGCAGAAGCGAGCCUAACUGCGAGACUGACGGGUCGAGCAGUAACGAAAGUUGGAGUUAGUGAUCCGGUGGUAUGUGAGUGGAAAUGCCAUCGCUCAACGGAUAAAAGUUACCCUGGGGAUAACAGGCUGAUCUCCCCCAAGAGUCCACAUCGACGGGGAGGUU